Molecule: ribosomal RNA, 465 nt
Filed under: Vreelandella stevensii
Lineage: Bacteria; Pseudomonadati; Pseudomonadota; Gammaproteobacteria; Oceanospirillales; Halomonadaceae
Description: partial 16S ribosomal RNA
Rfam family: Bacterial small subunit ribosomal RNA
Source: RNAcentral
CCUACGGGUGGCAGCAGUGGGGAAUAUUGGACAAUGGGGGGAACCCUGAUCCAGCCAUGCCGCGUGUGUGAAGAAGGCCCUCGGGUUGUAAAGCACUUUCAGUGAGGAAGAACGCCUGGUGGUUAAUACCCAUCAGGAAAGACAUCACUCACAGAAGAAGCACCGGCUAACUCCGUGCCAGCAGCCGCGGUAAUACGGAGGGUGCGAGCGUUAAUCGGAAUUACUGGGCGUAAAGCGCGCGUAGGUGGCUUGAUAAGCCGGUUGUGAAAGCCCCGGGCUCAACCUGGGAACGGCAUCCGGAACUGUCAAGCUAGAGUGCAGGAGAGGAAGGUAGAAUUCCCGGUGUAGCGGUGAAAUGCGUAGAGAUCGGGAGGAAUACCAGUGGCGAAGGCGGCCUUCUGGACUGACACUGACACUGAGGUGCGAAAGCGUGGGUAGCACACAGGAUUAGAUAUCCUGGUAGUC